UUCAGCAGCGAGGCGGCAAUGCGACCGAUGUUUUUUGAAAGGCCAGUAGUCGCGGCAAGACCGGCGAACACGAGCGAAGUCGGCGUACACGCACGUCCCAUCGGGAAGGGAAUUUCAAGCGGCACAGUUUGCGCGCCGCGAGUUUCUUCUACGUGUGUUCACCUUACGGAUAAAUCUGCGUACGAUAUUUGUCGAGGAAUACGAGUACGCUUGACUUGUGUGUCUCGUCUCCGAAUUGGUAUCGAGACUUAUAGUGGUGCCUGGUGUUGGCCGGCAACACACGUUUUCUGCUUCUGCUGGUGCUGCUACUCCCUUCGUGCAAGAUCGGGGUUCGUGACGUCAGCAAUUCCCCCUCACCUCGUAAACACCAAACAUGGCCGUCGUACGGAUAUACGCUGAUCGAGUGCGUCCGAAACUGAUGGUGAAAACUAACGUCGAUAUAGGCACUGGAAACUCGUGGAUCCGUGUACGAAGUGCAGUAGGACGUUUUAAAGCCUCGUGAACGGCGUUGAGUCUGUCUAUAUACGAAUAUGUAAAAACUGGAGCGAUCGACUCACAGCGUCUAGCACAUUCUGCGGAUCGAGGCCGACUAGAGCCGAGGUCUGCCGAACUCCCCUCGCAAGCUUAGUGGACUCGCCCGACCCGCUCGAGGUUAGGAGGGGAGGGGGUAACGGUAGAGAAAGAGUAUCAGAAGGGGAAGGGAGAAACUCUCAACGGUACGUGCGCCGCGCAUACAACGGAGAGAGAAAGAUAGAGAAAGCAAAAGAAGGAGAGUGUGAUUGAGUGACCGAGGACGAGAAGGGUGGGGAGAAGAGGGAGAGAAGAGCAAGCGCAAUGGAGGUAGAAAAGAGAGACGGCGCGACCAGGAGCGCCAGGAGCGCCGUCCUCGGAACAAGAAAGCUGCCUGCCUGCUUGCCUGCCUGCCGCCUGCCUGCUAGCCAGCCACCCCAAGUUCCCUUCUAGGCGGUGUUUUAAUGGCCGAGUGGCGCUUACCAUCGUCGGUGAUUCGUCAAGCAUGCAUUCGCCUUGUAGACACCCGGUAGACGAGCAACUACCCACGUAAGUUCGAUUAUUAAUUCAGCGGCGGGAGCGCGCGGCGCAUAGGCUUGGCGCAAUGUGUCGCUCUUUAUACGGACCGACGCAUAACGCGUUGUACUACCAGCGUGACAACGAGCUUGCGAACAUCCCUUAACACUUUCGAAGUGUUGUUGGAUUUUUCUUGCAACAAUGGUGACAAGCGUUAGACUGCGGAUGUUUAUGCAAAUUAACGGAACCUAAGCAAAGAUUUCUUUUACACGAUAAAUAUUACAAUAGGUAUAUAAUAUAUGAUAAUGAAUAUUAUAAUACCGUACUUUGGAUAUUUUAUACAUUUUUUUGUAUUAUCAGCAUUCUGCACAUUUUUUCCGCUCUAAAUUUUCUAUCAGUUUAUUUUCCUAUAAAUAAAUGCGCAGUUGAAUCAUGAUACAAUAGCAUGGUCUGUAAUAGUU
Bombus impatiens (common eastern bumble bee) is the source of this 1487-nucleotide long non-coding RNA. RefSeq lists it as uncharacterized. The transcript has 2 exons. The record is from RefSeq and is a predicted model, not a curated record. Lineage: Eukaryota; Metazoa; Arthropoda; Insecta; Hymenoptera; Apidae.